UACGAAGGGUGCAAGCGUUAAUCGGAAUUACUGGGCGUAAAGCGCGCGGAGGUGGUUCAGUAAGUUGGAUGUGAAAUCCCCGGGCUCAACCUGGGAACUGCAUCCAAAACUGCUGAGCUAGAGUACGGUAGAGGGUGGUGGAAUUUCCUGUGUAGCGGUGAAAUGCGUAGAUAUAGGAAGGAACACCAGUGGCGAAGGUGACCACCUGGACUGUUACUGACACUGAGGUGCGAAAGCGUGGGGAGCAAACAGG
This 253-nucleotide ribosomal RNA is filed under the name uncultured bacterium. Its description in RNAcentral is "partial 16S ribosomal RNA". It matches the Rfam family "Bacterial small subunit ribosomal RNA", at positions 524 to 776 of the family's 1533-position model. The record is from RNAcentral.